RNAcentral lists this unclassified non-coding RNA (458 nucleotides) under Bombus terrestris (buff-tailed bumblebee). RNAcentral's name for it is "misc RNA ENSBTSG00005025014.1". Lineage: Eukaryota; Metazoa; Arthropoda; Insecta; Hymenoptera; Apidae. The record is from RNAcentral.
AAAUAACAUUAUGAAUUGUGAAAUAACAUAUUAUGAUUUAUAUAUAGAGAACCUGUAAAAACUAUUUGUCUUUUAUAAAUAUUAUAAAUUUCGAAAUAAUGAAGCAUCUUUUAUUCUUCUUUUUUUUUAUAUUUUUUAGAAAUGGCACAUAUAUCUAUAAUAUCUAGCAUUUUCACUGCUAGUUAUAGGAAUGGGAAGUCUGCUUUAUUUUGACUAGACAUUACAAAGUGCACAUUGUACAGUAACUUGUCCUAUAAACUGCACUAAAAAAUGGUAUUUGAUAUUCAUAUAAAAAAGUUAUGAACAGUUAUAAAUUUAUCAUAUAUAUAGAGCAUACAAAAAAAGAAGUGAUAUUAAUUUUCCAUGAGAUUCAUCCAUAGCAGCUGCUCGCCUUUUUAUGCCUUCUAGAUAUAUUUCACGAUUAAACAGACCUCCACCAAGAGGAAUACUGUAAUAGA